Molecule: ribosomal RNA, 496 nt
Filed under: Hoeflea sp. Ar-105
Lineage: Bacteria; Pseudomonadati; Pseudomonadota; Alphaproteobacteria; Hyphomicrobiales; Rhizobiaceae
Description: bacterial SSU rRNA
Rfam family: Bacterial small subunit ribosomal RNA
Source: RNAcentral
GUCGAGCGCACUCUUCAGAGUGAGCGGCAGACGGGUGAGUAACGCGUGGGAAUCUACCCAUCUCUACGGAAUAACUCAGGGAAACUUGUGCUAAUACCGUAUACGCCCUUCGGGGGAAAGAUUUAUCGGAGAUGGAUGAGCCCGCGUUUGAUUAGCUAGUUGGUGGGGUAAAGGCCUACCAAGGCGACGAUCAAUAGCUGGUCUGAGAGGAUGAUCAGCCACACUGGGACUGAGACACGGCCCAGACUCCUACGGGAGGCAGCAGUGGGGAAUAUUGGACAAUGGGCGAAAGCCUGAUCCAGCCAUGCCGCGUGAGUGAUGAAGGCCCUAGGGUUGUAAAGCUCUUUCAACGGUGAAGAUAAUGACGGUAACCGUAGAAGAAGCCCCGGCUAACUUCGUGCCAGCAGCCGCGGUAAUACGAAGGGGGCUAGCGUUGUUCGGAAUUACUGGGCGUAAAGCGCACGUAGGCGGAUCGUUAAGUGAGGGGUGAAAUCCC